UAGGAAUUUCAGUGCAAUUCCGUGAGGUGGUGCUGACCUUAGAUGAGAAAUACGUGGCCAGGCUAUAAGGACUACAUGUAGAAUUGAGAUGGGACAGUGUACGUAUGGACUGUGAGGGGAAAGAAAAGGUAAAUGUGUGAAAGGAAAGAGAUUGGUGCAUGGUCAUGACAGUCUGACAGCUUAGACAUUUCAGAGGCAUUGUUUAUGAGAAAGGGGAUAGGGACACAUAGGUCUGAUGACAACCAAAGCCCUUUGAUGAUGCCAUCUGUCACUCAAGGCUCCCCACAGCCUGCCCAACCUGACUCUCCUGCCUGCUUCUCCACUGCCUACCUUCAACAAUCAAACUAUAUUUUUGUUACAGCAAACUACAUUCCAUUUGCCUUUAAAUGCUUGCAUUUUAGUUAUUGUACUGGCUACCUGUUUUUGUCUGCCCAGCAUCCUGUUUCCCCUCCUUUUGGAUCCUCUCCUAGCCAAUUCCAUGUCUUGAAUCCUUUCCUGCUCCUUGUUAAAAUUAUUUUCUGCUUUGUGUGAGUCCCUGUAAGCACCAGCAGCUCAAUCAGCACUGUCUGUACCAUGGUCAAGAGAUGAGUACAUGACUCAGGUCAGACCUUAUUUCCCACCCCAUAAGCCACAAUGAUUAGACAAGAAAUAGGCACAGAACCCUAACUAGAUAGGGCAGAAGCCUUCCAUAGGAUUUUAUUUGCUGGCCCUGAAAUGCAGGUAGCCUUCUAUGGCUGUUAAACACAAUCCAGUGGCACAUGGGGUGAUAUGAGGAUGGAGCCAUCCAUGGCAAAACUCCACCCUUUCCUGUGACAUGGAUUAUGUGCAUCUGCCAUGAAAAGGAAGCAUACACAAGAAAUGAGCCAAGAGUUCCUGGAGAACUGAAGCAAGUAUCACCUCCAGAUCAGUUGUACUUUUAUUUGCUUACACUAUUCUGAGGUGGGUCUCUGUCUCUUGGAUCCAAAAGAGUUCAAAUUAAUAAUCAUUUGACAAAAAAUUACCUCCACAUUCCUAAUGAAGUUGUCUUUGAAGAUAAUGUCUUGUGAUCCCCUGGUUGAAGUUAAUUACUGCUUGUGAGCCCCCAUUAACAACGUGUUCCUUUCCCCAUUGCUUGCUUGUAUCAGCUUUGCUGAAGAUCUAUUGGCUGUAGGUGUGCAGCUUUAUUUCUGUGUUCUCUAUUGUGUUCCAUUGGUCUACGUGUCUGUUAUUGUACCAGUGCCGUGCUGUUUUGGUUACUGUGGUCUUAUAGUUUGAAGCCACAUCUGUGUGAUGCUGCUGGCUUUGUUCUUUCUGCUUUGGGUUGCUUUGGCUAUUCAGGCUCUUUCUUUGGUUCCAUCUGAAUUUUAGAAUAGUUGUUUUCUAAUUCUGUGAAAAUGUUCCAACCUCUGUGAAAAAUGAGGUUGGUAGUUUGAUAGGACAGCAUUGAUUCUGUAAAUUGCUUUGGGCAGUAUGGCCAUUUUUAAACUAUAUUGAUUCUUCCAAUCCAUGAACAUGGAAUGUUUUUCCAUUUUUUGGUUUCAUCCCUGAUUUCUUUCUGCCAUGUUUUGUAGUUCUCCUUGUAGAGAUCUUUCACCUCCUUGGUUAGGUGUAUUUUUAAGUAUUUCAGUUUUUUUAUGGCUAUUGUAAAUGGUAUUGGGUUCUUGAUUUGCUCUCAGCUUGAACGUUAUUGGUGUAUAGAAAUGCUCCUAAUUUUUGUGCAUUGAUUUUGUAUCCUGAAACUUGACUAAAGUUGUUUAUCAGUCUAGGAGCUUUUGGCAGAGUCUUCGGGGUUUUCUAGGUAUAAAAUCAUAUCAGCGAAGAGAGCUAGUUUGAUUUCUUUUCCCAGUUGGAUGCCUUUUAUUUAUUUCUCUUGCCUGAUUGCUCUAAGUUGAAUGGGAGCGAUGAGACUGGGCAUCCUCUUCUUAUUCCAGUUCUCAGAAGGAAUAGUUCCAGCUUUUGCUCAUCCAGUAUGAUGUCUGUGGGUUGGUUGUAGAUGGCUCUUAUUAUUUUGAGAUAUGUUCCUUUGAUACCUAGUCUGUUGAGGGGUUUUAUCAUGAGGGAUGUUGGAUUUUAUCCGUAUUCAAUAAAUGGUGUUGGGAUAACUGGCUAGCCCUAUGCAGAAGAAUGAAACUGGACCCCCCACCUUUCACCGUAUAUGAAAAUUAACUCAAGAUGGAUUAAAGAUUUAAAUGUAAGACCUCAAACUGUAAAAAUCCUAGAAGAAAACCUAGGAAAUACCCUUAUCAACAUCAGCCUUGGCAAAGAACUUUUGGCUAAGUCCCCAAAGGCAAUUGCAACAAAACAGAAAUUGGCAAGUGGGGACCUAAUUAAAGCACUCUGCACAGCAAAAGACACUAUCAACAGAGUAAACAGACAACAUACAGAAUUGGAGAAAAUAUUUGCAAACUAGACAUCCAACAAAGAUCUGACAUCCAGAAUCAAUAAGGAACUUAACAAGCAAAAAACAACCCCAUUAAAAAAUGGGUGAAGGACAUGAACAGACACUUCUCAAAAGAAGACAUACAAGCAAUCAACAAACGUGAAAAAAUGCUCAUCACUAAUCAUCAGAGAAAUGCAAAUCAAAACCACAAUAAGAUACCAUCUCACACCAGUUAGAAUGGCUAUUGUAAAGAAGUCUAAUAACAUGCCAGUAAGGUUUCAGAGAAAAGAGAACAUUUAUACACUGUUGUGGGAAUGUAAAUUAGUUCAGUCACUGUGGAAAGCAGUUUGGAGAUUUCUCAAAUAACUUAAAACAGAUCUACCAUUCAACCCAGCAUAUGGGUUUAUUUCCCAAAAGGAAAUAAAUCCUUCUACCAAAAACACAUAUGGUCAUCACAGUGCUAUUCACAGUAGCAAAGACAGAUCAACGUGGCUGCCCAUCAACAGUGGACUGGAUAAAGAAAAUGUGGUACAUAUAAAUCAUGGAGUAUUAGGCAGCCAUAAAAAGAACAAAAUCAUGUCCUUUGCAGCCAGCCACAUGGAUACAGCUGGAAGCCAUAAUCUAAGCAAAUUAAGAACAGAAAACCAAGUACUGCAUGUUCUAACAAAUGGGAGCUAAAUAUUGAGUACCUCAGGAUGCAAAGGUGGGAACAACAGACACUGCAGACUGGAACACUGUGGGUGAGGAGGGCAGAAGGAUAGGUUGAAAAACUACCUAUUGGGUACUAUGCUCACUACCUGGGUGAUGGGAUCUGUACCUCAAACCUCAGCAUCACACAAUAUACCCUUGUAACAAACUUGCACAUUUACCCACUGUUUCUAAAUGAAAAGUUGAAAUAUUUUUUAUUAAAAAACACAAAAGCAAUAUGUUUCUC
RNAcentral lists this long non-coding RNA (3293 nucleotides) under Homo sapiens (human). RNAcentral's name for it is "non-protein coding lnc-DDHD1-2:1". Lineage: Eukaryota; Metazoa; Chordata; Mammalia; Primates; Hominidae. The record is from RNAcentral.